CUCGGGGUGGGGGUACCUCAGCCUGGAUUGUGAGAGGGUGCAGGCCAGGCCAAAGGACCCCACCAGUGCACA
This is a non-coding RNA of Myotis lucifugus (little brown bat), 72 nucleotides long. Lineage: Eukaryota; Metazoa; Chordata; Mammalia; Chiroptera; Vespertilionidae. The record is from Rfam.